RNAcentral lists this ribosomal RNA (1347 nucleotides) under uncultured bacterium. RNAcentral describes it as "bacterial SSU rRNA". It matches the Rfam family "Bacterial small subunit ribosomal RNA", at positions 28 to 1381 of the family's 1533-position model. The record is from RNAcentral.
GACGAACGCUGGCGGCGUGCUUAACACAUGCAAGUCGAACGGAAAGGCCCUGCUUUUGUGGGGUGCUCGAGUGGCGAACGGGUGAGUAACACGUGAGUAACCUGCCCUUGACUUUGGGAUAACUUCAGGAAACUGGGGCUAAUACCGGAUAGGAGCUCCUGCUGCAUGGUGGGGGUUGGAAAGUUUCGGCGGUUGGGGAUGGACUCGCGGCUUAUCAGCUUGUUGGUGGGGUAGUGGCUUACCAAGGCUUUGACGGGUAGCCGGCCUGAGGGGGUGACCGGCCACAUUGGGACUGAGAUACGGCCCAGACUCCUACGGGAGGCAGCAGUGGGGAAUAUUGCACAAUGGGCGGAAGCCUGAUGCAGCAACGCCGCGUGCGGGAUGACGGCCUUCGGGUUGUAAACCGCUUUCGCCUGUGACGAAGCGUGAGUGACGGUAAUGGGUAAAGAAGCACCGGCUAACUACGUGCCAGCAGCCGCGGUGAUACGUAGGGUGCGAGCGUUGUCCGGAUUUAUUGGGCGUAAAGGGCUCGUAGGUGGUUGAUCGCGUCGGAAGUGUAAUCUUGGGGCUUAACCCUGAGCGUGCUUUCGAUACGGGUUGACUUGAGGAAGGUAGGGGAGAAUGGAAUUCCUGGUGGAGCGGUGGAAUGCGCCAGAUAUCAGGAGGAACACCAGUGGCGAAGGCGGUUCUCUGGGCUUUUCCUGACGCUGAGGAGCGAAAGCGUGGGGAGCGAACAGGCUUAGAUACCCUGGUAGUCCACGCUGUAAACGGUGGGUACUAGGUGUGGGGUCCAUUCCACGGGUUCCGUGCCGUAGCUAACGCUUUAAGUACCCCGCCUGGGGAGUACGGCCGCAAGGCUAAAACUCAAAGGAAUUGACGGGGCCCCGCACAAGCGGCGGAGCAUGCGGAUUAAUUCGAUGCAACGCGUAGAACCUUACCUGGGUUUGACAUGGAUCGGGAGCGCUCAGAGAUGGGUGUGCCUCUUUUGGGGUCGGUUCACAGGUGGUGCAUGGCUGUCGUCAGCUCGUGUCGUGAGAUGUUGGGUUAAGUCCCGCAACGAGCGCAACCCUUGUUCACUGUUGCCAGCACGUUAUGGUGGGGACUCAGUGGAGACCGCCGGGGUCAACUCGGAGGAAGGUGGGGAUGACGUCAAGUCAUCAUGCCCCUUAUGUCCAGGGCUUCACGCAUGCUACAAUGGCUGGUACAGAGAGUGGCGAGCCUGUGAGGGUGAGCGAAUCUCGGAAAGCCGGUCUCAGUUCGGAUUGGGGUCUGCAACUCGACCUCAUGAAGUCGGAGUCGCUAGUAAUCGCAGAUCAGCAACGCUGCGGUGAAUACGUUCCCGGGGCU